CCUACGGGAGGCAGCAGUGGGGAAUAUUGGGCAAUGGGCGCAAGCCUGAUCCAGCAACGCCGCGUGAAGGAAGAAGGCUUUCGGGUUGUAAACCUCUUUUGUCAGGGACGAAGCAAGUGACGCUUCAUGAAGAAUAAGCCACGGCUAACUACGUGCCAGCCGCCGCGGUAAUACGUAGGUGGCCAGCGUUAUCCGGAUGUACUGGGUGUAAAGGGCGUGUAGGCGGGACUGCAAGUCAGAUGUGAAAACCACGGGCUCAACCUGUGGACUGCAUUGGAAACUGUAGUUCUGGAGUUCUGGAGAGGCAGGCGGAAUUCCUAGUGUAGCGGUGAAAGGCGUAGAUAUUAGGAGGAACACCAGUGGCGAAGGCGGUCUGCUGGACAGCAACUGACGCUGAGGCGCGAAAGCGUGGGGAGCAAACAGGAUUAGAUACCCUAGUAGUC
This 443-nucleotide ribosomal RNA is filed under the name uncultured bacterium. Its description in RNAcentral is "partial 16S ribosomal RNA". It matches the Rfam family "Bacterial small subunit ribosomal RNA", at positions 338 to 795 of the family's 1533-position model. The record is from RNAcentral.